CAAGAGUUACUGAAUGUAAUUUCUGUAAUUCAAUUGCAUCAUCCUAACAAAGCUAAUAGCAACAAGAAAAAAAAUCCUUCUGAGAAGAGAAAAAAAUGCUCAGAGCAGUUCACUGAUUCUUAGCAUUAUCUGUUUUUUGUUUUUUUUAUUUUUUUUACACAAGGUGGAAUCACUCUAAAUUGAAGAAAUAUUGGCUGUCAUGGUCUAAUGAAUACCAAAUGAGACAUUAAACUGUAACUCAGGAACCUCAUGGGUGUUCAUAAAUGUGUGUGCUUUCCAUUCAAGCCCACACAAAAACACUCAUAAUGAAUGUGUUCUCAAGGACUCAUUAUGAUGUUUACAGGCGAUCUAAUCAGGAACUCCGAGGCACUUACAUUUAUCUCCCACUAUCCUCUCUAUGUUCUUCACACACUAACUAGAAUGUCGUGGUUUACAAACUAGGAAGUCACUGCCUUCUGUCUGAUGAAAAAUUCUGGAGAGCUGGGGUCAGAAAAAAAGAAAAGUCGUAAGCGGAUCCCCCAAACAGAAUGCCCCAGGAAUUCACUUUUGUGCUUAGAAGAAGGACAGGAAAAGUAACCAAAACCCCAGCCUAGGUCAAGUGCAGUGACUCACACCUAUAAUCCCAGCACUUUGGGAGGCCAAGACGAGCAGAUGACCCAAGGUCAGGAGUUUGAGACCAACCCAGCCAACAUGGCGAAACCCUGUCUCCACUACAAAUACAAAAAAAAAAAAAAAAAAAGCCGGGUGUGGUAGCGGGUACCACCAGCUACUCUGGAGGCUGAGACAUGAGAAUCUCUUGAACCUGGGAGGCAGAGGUUGCAGCAGGCCAAGAUCAUGCCAGUGCACUCCAGCCUGGGCAACAGAGCGAUACUCCAUCUCAAUAAAUAAAUAAAUUAAUACAACAAAACUCCAGCCUA
RNAcentral lists this long non-coding RNA (917 nucleotides) under Homo sapiens (human). RNAcentral's name for it is "HSALNT0361762". Lineage: Eukaryota; Metazoa; Chordata; Mammalia; Primates; Hominidae. The record is from RNAcentral.